Molecule: ribosomal RNA, 253 nt
Filed under: uncultured bacterium
Lineage: Bacteria
Description: partial 16S ribosomal RNA
Rfam family: Bacterial small subunit ribosomal RNA
Source: RNAcentral
UACGUAGGGUGCAAGCGUUGUCCGGAAUUAUUGGGCGUAAAGAGCUCGUAGGCGGUUCGUCACGUCGGCUGUGAAAUCCCGAGGCUCAACCUCGGGUCUGCAGUCGAUACGGGCGGACUGGAGUACUGCAGGGGAGACUGGAAUUCCUGGUGUAGCGGUGAAAUGCGCAGAUAUCAGGAGGAACACCGGUGGCGAAGGCGGGUCUCUGGGCAGUAACUGACGCUGAGGAGCGGAAGCGUGGGGAGCGAACAGG